AGAGUUUGAUCCUGGCUCAGGAUGAACGCUGGCGGCGUGCUUAACACAUGCAAGUCGAACGAAGCACCUUGAUUUGAUUCUUCGGAUGAAGAUCUUGGUGACUGAGUGGCGGACGGGUGAGUAACGCGUGGGUAACCUGCCUCAUACAGGGGGAUAACAGUUAGAAAUGACUGCUAAUACCGCAUAAGACCACAGCACCGCAUGGUGCAGGGGUAAAAACUCCGGUGGUAUGAGAUGGACCCGCGUCUGAUUAGGUAGUUGGUGGGGUAACGGCCUACCAAGCCGACGAUCAGUAGCCGACCUGAGAGGGUGACCGGCCACGUUGGGACUGAGAUACGGCCCAGACUCCUACGGGAGGCAGCAGUGGGGAAUAUUGGGCAAUGGGCGAAAGCCUGACCCAGCAACGCCGCGUGAAGGAAGAAGGCCUUCGGGUUGUAAACUUCUUUUACCAGGGACGAAGGACGUGACGGUACCUGGAGAAAAAGCAACGGCUAACUACGUGCCAGCAGCCGCGGUAAUACGUAGGUUGCAAGCGUUGUCCGGAUUUACUGGGUGUAAAGGGCGUGUAGGCGGAGAUGCAAGUUAGGAGUGAAAUCUAUGGGCUCAACCCAUAAACUGCUUCUAAAACUGUAUCCCUUGAGUAUCGGAGAGGCAAGCGGAAUUCCUAGUGUAGCGGUGAAAUGCGUAGAUAUUAGGAGGAACACCAGUGGCGAAGGCGGCUUGCUGGACGACAACUGACGCUGAGGCGCGAAAGCGUGGGGGGCAAACAGGAUUAGAUACCCUGGUAGUCCACGCUGUAAACGAUGAGUACUAGGUGUGGGGGGACUGACCCCCUCCGUGCCGCAGUUAACACAAUAAGUAUUCCACCUGGGGAGUACGACCGCAAGGUUGAAACUCAAAGGAAUUGACGGGGGCCCGCACAAGCAGUGGAUUAUGUGGUUUAAUUCGACGCAACGCGAAGAACCUUACCAGGACUUGACAUCCAACUAACGAAGUAGAGAUACAUCAGGUGCCCUUCGGGGAAAGUUGAGACAGGUGGUGCAUGGUUGUCGUCAGCUCGUGUCGUGAGAUGUUGGGUUAAGUCCCGCAACGAGCGCAACCCCUAUUGUUAGUUGCUACGAAAGAGCACUCUAGCGAGACUGCCGUUGACAAAACGGAGGAAGGCGGGGACGACGUCAAAUCAUCAUGCCCCUUAUGUCCUGGGCUACACACGUAAUACAAUGGUGGCCAACAGAGGGAAGCGAAGCCGUGAGGCAGAGCAAAUCCCUAAAAGCCAUCUCAGUUCGGAUUGCAGGCUGCAACUCGCCUGCAUGAAGCUGGAAUUGCUAGUAAUCGCGGAUCAGCAUGCCGCGGUGAAUACGUUCCCGGGCCUUGUACACACCGCCCGUCACACCAUGAGAGUCGGGAACACCCGAAGUCCGUAGUCUAACCGCAAGGGGGGCGCGGCCGAAGGUGGGUCCGGUAAUUGGGGUGAAGUCGUAACAAGGUA
RNAcentral lists this ribosomal RNA (1489 nucleotides) under metagenome. Its description in RNAcentral is "bacterial SSU rRNA". It matches the Rfam family "Bacterial small subunit ribosomal RNA". The record is from RNAcentral.